AUUCAGACAUUGGGCCUCAACAUUUAAAAGCAUGUUUUUGCUUUCUGUCUGAUAUAG
This 57-nucleotide microRNA precursor is filed under the name Monodelphis domestica (gray short-tailed opossum). RNAcentral's name for it is "microRNA mdo-mir-7350 precursor". Lineage: Eukaryota; Metazoa; Chordata; Mammalia; Didelphimorphia; Didelphidae. The record is from miRBase by way of RNAcentral.